This is a non-coding RNA of Ciona savignyi (Pacific transparent sea squirt), 74 nucleotides long. Lineage: Eukaryota; Metazoa; Chordata; Ascidiacea; Phlebobranchia; Cionidae. The record is from Rfam.
GGCCGGUUAGCUCAGUUGGUUAGAGCGUCGUGCUAAUAACGCGAAUGUCGCGGGUUCGAUCCCCGUACAGGCCA